Molecule: ribosomal RNA, 776 nt
Filed under: Haematomma ochroleucum
Lineage: Eukaryota; Fungi; Ascomycota; Lecanoromycetes; Lecanorales; Haematommataceae
Description: eukaryotic LSU rRNA
Rfam family: Eukaryotic large subunit ribosomal RNA
Source: RNAcentral
AGUCUCUUGGAACAGAGCGUCACAGAGGGUGAGAAUCCCGUCCUUGACCGGCGACCACGCCCGCGCGAAACCCCUUCGACGAGUCGAGUUGUUUGGGAAUGCAGCUCAAAAUGGGUGGUAAAUUUCAUCUAAAGCUAAAUAUCGGCCGGAGACCGAUAGCGCACAAGUAGAGUGAUCGAAAGAUGAAAAGCACUUUGGAAAGAGAGUCAAAAAGUACGUGAAAUUGUUGAAAGGGAAGCGCUUGCGACCAGACCUGUUCGGGGGCGAUCAACCUCUGUUUUCAGGGGUGCACUCGCCCCCGAUCAGGCCAGCAUCGGUUCGGGCGGCCGGACAAAGGCCUUGGGAAUGUAGCUCCCUUCGGGGAGUCUUAUAGCCCUGGGUGCAAUGCGGCCAGCCCGGACCGAGGACCGCGCUCCGGCUAGGAUGCUGGCGUAAUGGUCGUAAGCGACCCGUCUUGAAACACGGACCAAGGAGUAUAAUGUCUAUGCGAGUGUUUGGGUGUCAAACCCAUGCGCGGAAUGAAAGUGAACGGAGGUGAGAACCCUGAAGGGCGCAUCAUCGACCGAUCCAGAUGUCUUCGGAUGGAUUUGAGUACGAGCAUAGCUAUUGUGACCCGAAAGAUGGUGAACUAUGCCUGAAUAGGGUGAAGCCAGAGGAAACUCUGGUGGAGGCUCGCAGCGGUUCUGACGUGCAAAUCGAUCGUCAAAUUUGGGUAUAGGGGCGAAAGACUAAUCGAACCAUCUAGUAGCUGGUUCCUGCCGAAGUUUCCCUCAGGA